CAGGACUGGUGUGGUAUACCAUCUAUAUCGGAGUAUCAGUGGGAGGCGCUGUGGUUCUGAUUCUUAUUGUAGCUGUGGCAGUGUGCUACUGCAGGGGCCAAAGUAUCACGGAAGAUCAAACUGACAACACAAUAUAUGCUGAUGUUAUGAUCAACACAAGAAGUAGAGAUACAAGAUCAAACAGUCAUGUGAACCCAAUAUCCAUCUAUGAAACGGUCAAUGAUCUGGUUAUCCCAAGAUUGAACAAGG
Molecule: non-coding RNA, 249 nt
Organism: Salvelinus sp. IW2-2015
Lineage: Eukaryota; Metazoa; Chordata; Actinopteri; Salmoniformes; Salmonidae
Source: RefSeq, a predicted model, not a curated record